This 580-nucleotide ribosomal RNA is filed under the name uncultured rumen bacterium. Its description in RNAcentral is "bacterial SSU rRNA". It matches the Rfam family "Bacterial small subunit ribosomal RNA", at positions 39 to 634 of the family's 1533-position model. The record is from RNAcentral.
GCGGCGCGCCUAACACAUGCAAGUCGAACGGGGUAUGGAGAGCUUGCUUUUCAUACUUAGUGGCGGACGGGUGAGUAACACGUGAGCAACCUGCCUUUCAGAGGGGGACAACAGUUGGAAACGACUGCUAAUACCGCAUAACAUUGCGAGGAGGCAUCUCCAUGCAAUCAAAGAUUUAUCGCUGAAAGAUGGGCUCGCGUCUGAUUAGAUAGUUGGUGAGGUAACGGCCCACCAAGUCGACGAUCAGUAGCCGGACUGAGAGGUUGAACGGCCACAUUGGGACUGAGACACGGCCCAGACUCCUACGGGAGGCAGCAGUGGGGGAUAUUGGACAAUGGGGGCAACCCUGAUCCAGCGACGCCGCGUGAGGGAAGAAGGUUUUCGGAUUGUAAACCUCUGUUGACGGGGAAGAAAAUGACAGUACCCGUUUAGAAAGCCACGGCUAACUACGUGCCAGCAGCCGCGGUAAUACGUAGGUGGCAAGCGUUGUCCGGAAUUACUGGGUGUAAAGGGAGCGUACGCGGCGGUGCAAGUCAAAAGUGAAAAUCAUGGGCUCAACUCAUGACCUGCUUUUGAAACU